GGGGUAUUAGCUCAGUUGGGAGAGCGUCUGCUUUGCAAGCAGGAGGUCGGCAGUUCGAUUCUGCUAUACUCCACCA
Molecule: transfer RNA, 76 nt
Filed under: Acholeplasmatales bacterium
Lineage: Bacteria; Bacillati; Mycoplasmatota; Mollicutes; Acholeplasmatales
Also listed under: 1 other name
Description: tRNA-Ala
Rfam family: tRNA
About the family: Transfer RNA (tRNA) molecules are approximately 80 nucleotides in length. Their secondary structure includes four short double-helical elements and three loops (D, anti-codon, and T loops).
Source: RNAcentral